This 1342-nucleotide unclassified non-coding RNA is filed under the name uncultured Neocallimastigales. RNAcentral describes it as "partial contains internal transcribed spacer 1, 5.8S ribosomal RNA, internal transcribed spacer 2, and large subunit ribosomal RNA". The stretch from base 588 to 1342 matches the Rfam family "Eukaryotic large subunit ribosomal RNA", at positions 1 to 617 of the family's 3401-position model. The record is from RNAcentral. Lineage: Eukaryota; Fungi; Neocallimastigomycota; Neocallimastigomycetes; Neocallimastigales.
AAAAUAAUCCUACCCUUUGUGAAUUUUGUUUGUUUGAAUAAUUUUUUUUUUUAAAAAAUUAUUGGAGUCUUUCCCUUUAGUUUGCUUUUGAGUUUGUAAAAGAAUUCGAAAACAUCUAAAGGGGAUGGUCAAUAAUUUUUUUGAAAAAAGACAUUUUUUAAAAUUAAACUUUUUGUAUUCAUUUGUCUAAAAAUUAUUUUUAUAAUAUAAAAACAACUUUUGACAAUGGAUCUCUUGGUUCUCGCACGAUGAAGAACGCAGCAAAAUGCGAUAAGUAGUGUGAAUUGCAGAAUACGUGAAUCAUCGAAUCUUUGAACGCAUAUUGCACUUUUUUAGUUUACUAAAAAAGUAUGUCUGUUUGAGUAUCAGUAAAAUAUUCUCAUAAAAAUCAUUGUAUUUUUAUGGUUAUGAGUGUUUUACAACGAUACAAGUUGUUUCACUUUAAAUUUUUUUUAAUAUUGAAAUUUUUCUAAUUUUAAUAAUUAAAAUUGGAUAAAAUUUUCCCGUCAAAAGGAAUAACCUAAACAAUUUUAAAUGAUUAAUUUUAGCAAAAUUUUCGAAAAAGGAAAAUUUUUAUUAAAAUAACUUGAUCUCAAAUCAGAUAAGAGUACCCGCUGAACUUAAGCAUAUCAAUAAGCGGAGGAAAAGAAACUAACAAGGAUUCCCUUAGUAACGGCGAGUGAAGCGGGAAGAGCUCAAAUUUGAAAUCUUCAAGGUUUUACCUGACGAAUUGUAGUUUAAAGAAGUGUUUUCUGCUGAAGUUUUGGUAAAAGUUCUUUGGAAUAGGACAUCAUAGAGGGUGAGAAUCCCGUAUUUGACCAUUAUUCUCAGCUUUGUGAUACACUUUCAAAGAGUCGGAUUGUUUGGGAAUGCAGUCCAAAAUGGGUGGUAAAUUUCAUCUAAAGCUAAACAUUGGCGAGAGACCGAUAGCGAACAAGUACCUUGAGGGAAAGAUGAAAAGAACUUUGAAAGGAGAGUUAAACAGUACGUGAAAUUGUCAAAAGGGAAGCGUUUGACACCAGUGUUGUUUUCUCGAAAAUCAAUUAAAAAUGGCUCGAUUUUGUAUUGCUGAGACCUUAAAAGCUCACUGUACAUUUUUCGUGUCUUUUUAAUGCACUUUUCGUUAACAAGUCAACAUCAGUUUCUUUUGUUGUAAAAGGGUCAUUGGAAGGUGGCUUUCUUUUCGGAGAAAGUGUUUAUAGCCUUUGGCCUCUGCAAUCGGAGAGACUGAGGUCUGCAGCGUAGACUCUUCGGGGUUAGAUACAUUUGUGCUAAGUUAUAGCUUUUUAUAGACAACUUGUUGACUAUAAUUAGUCUUGUAGCUUACUCGCUUAUGCUAUUU